This 482-nucleotide ribosomal RNA is filed under the name uncultured bacterium. RNAcentral's name for it is "partial 16S ribosomal RNA". It matches the Rfam family "Bacterial small subunit ribosomal RNA", at positions 28 to 523 of the family's 1533-position model. The record is from RNAcentral.
GACGAACGCUGGCGGCGUGCUUAUCACAUGCAAGUCGAACGGUGAAGUAGAGCUUGCUCUAUGGAUCAGUGGCGAACGGGUGAGUAACACGUGGGCAACCUGCCCCAGACUCUGGGAUAACUCCUCGAAAGAGGGGCUAAUACCGGAUAUUUGCAUUGCAAGACAUCUUGUGAUGCAGAAAGAAUUUCGGUCUGGGAUGGGCCCGCGGCCUAUCAGCUUGUUGGUGAGGUAACGGCUCACCAAGGCGACGACGGGUAGCCGGCCUGAGAGGGCGACCGGCCACACGGGGACUGAGACACGGCCCAGACUCCUACGGGAGGCAGCAGUGGGGAAUAUUGGGCAAUGGGCGCAAGCCUGACCCAGCAACGCCGCGUGAGGGAUGAAGGUCCUCGGAUUGUAAACCUCUUUCAGCAGGGACGAAGCGAAAGUGACGGUACCUGCAGAAGAAGCACCGGCUAACUACGUGCCAGCCGCCGCCGUAA